Non-coding RNA from Paramuricea clavata, 378 nucleotides. The record is from the annotation of a GenBank genome assembly. Lineage: Eukaryota; Metazoa; Cnidaria; Anthozoa; Malacalcyonacea; Plexauridae.
CUUAUUCCAAAUAUUCCCAAGGACAUGCACGAGUAUAUUAUUUCUGCUUUAUUAAAAUCCUUUUGAUAGAAAUACUACUUUUAUCAUUAAAGUACAGUAGUUACUAUUCUUCCCCUGGCAUAUGUAGCCACACAGAAAUAGAGAGUUUGAGCAAGAGAACGAAGUCGGACGACGUCGACGUGGUUGACAAUUUUUGCCUGUCUUGCACAUUACCUUGUACAUUCUGAGUUUAGGGUCAGGAGUGAAGACAGAUUAGAGAUUCAUGUCUAGCUGUUUGUGAAUGCUGACUCAAAUCCUUACCCUGAUCAGGAUAAAACAGCGAGACAUGAAUCCAUAUCCCGUCUUCGUCUUCUGCCUUCGUUCACAACGAAUAUUUUG